RNAcentral lists this long non-coding RNA (420 nucleotides) under Androctonus crassicauda. Lineage: Eukaryota; Metazoa; Arthropoda; Arachnida; Scorpiones; Buthidae. The record is from RNAcentral.
AUUUUAGUUUUUAUUAAUGUUUGAUUGUGUUUUCGUUUCUUAUUAUGACCUAUCGUGCGACAUGGAAAACAAAUGUUCUACCAAAUUUUAUUGUUUUCUUACCUGUUACUAACGACUAAACAAGGAGUUCGCCAAUUUCUUUCGAAUUUUACAAGGGGUUCGCAAGAAGAAAAAGGUUGGGAACCACUGCUCUAAGGUCCCAUACUCCUUUAAGAAGAUUCUAUCAGAUUCCAUUUACAUAUUACCCAAGUAUAAAUUAUUACAUUAAAUAAAAUAAAUACUAAUACCCAGAGAUUAAGUCGCAUACUCCCAAGGGAUAUAAAUAUCCCUGGUUAAGAAUUCCUUCUCUAAGAGUUAAUCAUCAUCUAAAUGUAAAAAGAAUUAUCCAAAUUUAAAUAAAUUUUAUAAAUUUUUAAGGAG